CAGACUGACGGAAGCGUGGCAGCCAAUCAGCGCCUCCGGCCCCUCCCCCACCACCAACACUCAUUCACAUCCAUACGAACCGGGGUGAGGCUGCGGUGCAUGUCUUUAUGAUUUAUGAUUAACGUUUACUUCAGUGUCGUAAAUACCCAGUUACGAUAGAUGCAGCCUCGCAUACAUUUGUAUUGAUGACCUGACGAAGUCAGAAACCAAGAAAUGAUGUCAACCGAUAAGGGGGCGGCGACUCUGGUUGUAUAGAAGUCUUUAGGGCGGGGCUACAAGGUGAGCAACAGGUCCAGCAGAGCCCUACAAGGCGUCUAAGUUCCUCCUCCUCAGUCCUAAUAUGGUCACUUCCUGUUCACUGUUGAACAACAAAACAAGAUGGCGACGGCCAAAAGAACUAGAGGCCACAAACCAACGAUGACGUCAUCACACUGAAGACCAACAGGCAGGUAGCAUGAAGCAGAAUAUAUAUAUAUACAUAUAUAUAUAGAUAUUAUAGUUUAUAUUCAUCGGUGUUCAUCACUUUAAUGUUGCUAUAAAGUUGAUCUCGUUUUAUAUUAAUCUUUAUUUCCUGAGGUGUCCUGGAGUCGAAGGUGUCGCUCGUCUUCCCUCCCCAGGUGCAUGCUGGGAGCCGCUCCACAAAGAAGAGGGACUCACCUGGAGACCCGGGGACGGGUGCAGCUGGUCUGGAGCCCCCCAGAGCAUCCGGUCCUCAUGAGGCGCCUACAGCCCCCGAUCAGCAUCCAGGUCCGGAUCAGGUCUUCGCGGUUCUGGAUCUGGUCCCCACAAAACCCCUCGGGACUCUCGUGGAAGGGGGAUGACCCGAAGACCCCCAAAGACCCGGUCUGGGUUCAGAGGACGAGCCGAGCGUCAAUCUAACCGACGCUGCAACACGAGGCUUCACAGAGUCCUCCGACCAAUCAGGAGCCGGCACAAAACCACCUCCGCAUCCUCAGGAAACCACAGCGCUGCUCCUGCACCUCCUCCUGCACGGCCUCGUUUCUCCUUCUGAGACCAGAGAACCCCCCAAUGAGGAGGAGGGGGGGGGGGGGCUGGUCUUUCCCUCCAAUGAGCUUCUUGUGCAGGUUACGGUGAUGUCAUCAUCUCAAUAAACGACUGAUCAGACACGG
Molecule: long non-coding RNA, 1130 nt
Organism: Pseudoliparis swirei
Lineage: Eukaryota; Metazoa; Chordata; Actinopteri; Perciformes; Liparidae
Exons: 2
Source: RefSeq, a predicted model, not a curated record